Molecule: non-coding RNA, 46 nt
Filed under: Schistosoma haematobium
Lineage: Eukaryota; Metazoa; Platyhelminthes; Trematoda; Strigeidida; Schistosomatidae
Source: RNAcentral
GGAUUGUUGAAGAGUCCCAUACUAGGACGAAACGGUCGUCCAUUGC